ACGUAGGGGGCGAGCGUUGUCCGGAAUUACUGGGCGUAAAGAGCGUGUAGGCGGGUAACCAAGUCAGGUGUGAAAGACUGCGGCUCAACCGCAGGAUUGCAUCUGAAACUGAUUAUCUUGAGGGCAGGAGAGGACAGUGGAAUUCCUGGUGUAGCGGUGAAAUGCGUAGAAAUCAGGAGGAAUACCAGUGGCGAAGGCGACUGUCUGGACUGACCCUGACGCUGAGGCGCGAAAGCGUGGGGAGCAAACAG
Molecule: ribosomal RNA, 251 nt
Filed under: uncultured prokaryote
Description: partial 16S rRNA
Rfam family: Bacterial small subunit ribosomal RNA
Source: RNAcentral